UAAUGGUUAGUUGUUUUUUUGUUUUCCUUUGUAAACAUCAGAUAUUUUAUCGAGCCAAAUUUAAAUUCAGGGGGAGAGAUAUUAUAGAUCAGGCGUUCGGACGCUCGCUGUUUUGGACUAAUGCUCGGAUCCGGAGUGGCAUGUGUCCUCAAUAAAUCAUCCCUGUGAGCGGUCAAGCGAGCGACAAUAUCCAACAUUUAGGAUGGUUUUCUUGUUGGACGCCGAUGCCGAGAGAAGAACCGGGCAAGGCGGCGAUCCAGAUCCAGAUCCAGCAGCGGCGACAAGUAGAGAGAUGGACCAGACGCAGCGGCUGCCCGAGGACCUGCACGCGGACGUCCUCCGCUGUCUUCCACCGCGCAGUCUUGCUGCAGCCCGCUGCGUGUGCCGCUCCUGGCACGCCAUCGUCGACGCCCAUCGUCUCCUGGACCGGGACCUCCUCCCGCUCUCCUUGGCCGGCUUCCUCAUCAACUUCUGUGAGCUUGACUUCACGGAGUUCUUCUUCGACCCCUCAGCAAUCCGCGGCUACGCCGACCUCCACUUCAUGCCCACGGACGACAUCUCUGUGGAUGAUGUAUGCAACGGCCUAGCUUUGCUAGAUCAUUAUGUGGUCAAUCCCGCCACUCGACGUUGGGCAAGCCUGCCCCCACGCCCAUCUCCUCCCCUGGGGUUUGGCGAUGGCCUCCGUCGCCAUACAUGAUGCAUGUUUUCUCUUCAGAAACAACAAGGUGGGAAGAGAGAUCGUUCAUCCGACAGGGAGAUGCCCUGGGGACUCUUGCCGACAUGUUACUGCUUGAGCUGCCAAUGCCAGAUGAACUAUACGCUGUGUACUGGCAUGGAGAAAUCUACGUGCACUGUCAUUUUGUUAUGAGAAUAUCGUUAUCAAGUGGCACGUACCAAGCAAUUAAACUGCCAACAGAUGUUGAUCAGCACCGGUGGGCACAGGUUCUUCUUGGGAGAUCAGAGAAGGGGGUGUAUUUUGCAGCACUUGAUGGUCAAUGUCAUCUUCGAGUUUGGAUACUCACUGAAUGCUGCGGUCAGAGUGAGUGGUUUCUGAAGCAUGAUAACAACCUUCACCAAAUCCCACCACCUCAAAACUAUGAUCCACAAGUUCACAGGCCCUGCUGGAUUAUGGCAGAUAUCAAUCCAGCUAUUUACAGUACAGUAAAAAAGAAGUUCGAGUUGAAUUCAGACCAUGAGAUAAUCUUUGAAACUAGACUUGAAGGGCGCAGGUGGGAUGAACAUAUUAAGAUCCUUGGAUUUCAUCCUUACAAAGAAAUAAUUUAUUUCAGUGAAACGUUGAACAGAGGAUAUGCCUAUCAUCUAGAUGAACUCAAGCUAGAAGACUUGGGCAACAUGCGCCCAAAAGGAUUGGAUGACUGCUAUAAUAAGGAACUAGAAAGAUCUAUUCCAUAUACACCUUGUUUGUUGGGCCCAUAAUAAGGAAGUAGAUAAUUGAUUGACAAGCUUGUCGGGGAUUUCCAACGGAAGCUAUGCAUACACAUGAUGCAUACGUCUCUGUCCCUCGAGCUGCUUCACUUCCCAGCAUAGUCUAUGAAAGAGUUCAGUUUCAUUUUUCAUUUACAUUUUAGUGUCUCAUGUACUGUUGCUCAGUUAUAGCUAGAUCUACCAUUACCAUGAGCGGCCAUGGGUUCAGUUGUAAGGAUAAGAUCCAAAUUAAGACUUUUGUUCGACAAAUAAUGCAAGAAAUGUUGUGGUU
Triticum aestivum (bread wheat) is the source of this 1717-nucleotide long non-coding RNA. RefSeq lists it as uncharacterized. NCBI's taxonomy places the organism in Eukaryota, Viridiplantae, Streptophyta, Magnoliopsida, Poales, Poaceae. The record is from RefSeq and is a predicted model, not a curated record. The transcript has 2 exons.